Molecule: long non-coding RNA, 347 nt
Organism: Choloepus didactylus (southern two-toed sloth)
Lineage: Eukaryota; Metazoa; Chordata; Mammalia; Pilosa; Megalonychidae
Exons: 2
Source: RefSeq, a predicted model, not a curated record
UUCGCGCCCGUGCCUUCUUUCAGGUCGAGUUGGAGGAGGUGGCUUGUAGAUUUCUCCCGUAAGUCGCGGGCGCGAGGUGCUCCUUAGGGUCGCUUAGCCCCGCGGGCCGGUCCAGCCUCCGCAGCCAGCCUCGACCCGAGUUACGCACUGCGCGGCCCCCUGUCUCCCCGCCCCGCCCUUCCGAGGGGGGACGCGGGGCCCCAGACUUCCAAGACCCCGCAGGACCGUCGGUGGGCCGGUGCGGACCUUGAGCAGAAAGAACCUUCACCCCGGAGGCCGCGGGCAGGAGGCCUGGUAAGGAGGCCGUCCGGGUCUGGGGUGCUGACCAAUAAAGCAAAGAUGAUGAA